Molecule: ribosomal RNA, 986 nt
Filed under: uncultured bacterium
Lineage: Bacteria
Description: bacterial SSU rRNA
Rfam family: Bacterial small subunit ribosomal RNA
Source: RNAcentral
GGCAGCAGUGGGGAAUUGUUCGCAAUGGGCGCAAGCCUGACGACGCAACGCCGCGUGGAGGAUGAAGGUCUUCGGAUUGUAAACUCCUGUUGCCAGGGACGAAUGGCUACGACCUAACACGUCGUAGUGUGACGGUACCUGGUGAGGAAGCCCCGGCUAACUCUGUGCCAGCAGCCGCGGUAAUACAGAGGGGGCAAGCGUUGUUCGGAAUUACUGGGCGUAAAGGGCGCGUAGGCGGCCUGUUAAGUCGAACGUGAAAUCCCCGGGCUCAACCCGGGAACUGCGUCCGAUACUGGCAGGCUUGAAUCCGGGAGAGGGAUGCGGAAUUCCAGGUGUAGCGGUGAAAUGCGUAGAUAUCUGGAGGAACACCGGCGGCGAAGGCGGCAUCCUGGACCGGCAUUGACGCUGAGGCGCGAAAGCCAGGGGAGCAAACGGGAUUAGAUACCCCGGUAGUCCUGGCCCUAAACGAUGAAUGCUUGGUGUGGCGGGUAUCGAUCCCUGCCGUGCCGAAGCUAACGCAUUAAGCAUUCCGCCUGGGGAGUACGGCCGCAAGGCUGAAACUCAAAGGAAUUGACGGGGGCCCGCACAAGCGGUGGAGCAUGUGGUUUAAUUCGACGCAACGCGAAGAACCUUACCCAGGCUCGAACGGCAUCUGACAUCCUACGAAGGUAGGCUCCCGCAAGGGCAGGUGUCGAGGUGCUGCAUGGCUGUCGUCAGCUCGUGUCGUGAGAUGUUGGGUUAAGUCCCGCAACGAGCGCAACCCUUGUCUUCUGUUGCCAUCAGGUCAAGCUGGGCACUCUGAAGAGACUGCCGGUGACAAACCGGAGGAAGGUGGGGAUGACGUCAAGUCAGCAUGGCCUUUAUGUCUGGGGCCACACACGUGCUACAAUGGCAGGUACAAACCGUCGCGAGACCGCAAGGUGGAGCUAAUCGGAGAAAGCCUGUCUCAGUUCGGAUUGUAGGCUGCAACUCGCCUGCAUGAAGUU